This 1487-nucleotide unclassified non-coding RNA is filed under the name uncultured fungus. RNAcentral describes it as "sequence contains 18S rRNA gene, ITS1, 5.8S rRNA gene, ITS2, 28S rRNA gene". The stretch from base 546 to 1487 matches the Rfam family "Eukaryotic large subunit ribosomal RNA", at positions 1 to 961 of the family's 3401-position model. The record is from RNAcentral. Lineage: Eukaryota; Fungi.
GGAAGGAUCAUUAUCGAAAGCUUCGGCUUCUUUGAUGCCCUUUAACCCUUAUGUUGACUUUCCCUUUGUUGCUUCCACUAGUAUAUGCCUCUUUAGGGGGGGAGAGCUGGUGGAUGGCCUAUCUAAAUUACCAUAUUUGAAGUUAUGUACAAGUCUGAAGUAGUUACUUUAAUUACCUUAAAACUUUCAACAACGGAUCUCUUGGCUCCUGCAUCGAUGAAGAACGCAGCGAAAUGCGAUAAUUAAUGUGAAUUGCAGAAUUCCGUGAAUCAUCGAGUCUUUGAACGCACAUUGCGCCCUAUAGUAUUCUAUAGGGCAUGCCCGUCUCAGCGUCAGCAGAACCUAUCAAGCUCUGUCUUUGCUUAGCCAGCUGCUUGGAUUAUAUGAGGGAAGUGGAUAGCUAGCGAGCGCUGCCUCUGCUCCCUUGAAACCUAUAGGUCGUAUAGUGCUAUUGCUACUGCUAAACGUAAUAAGCACUUAUUCGUUUGCGAGGCAUAUGCCAGCCGGCCCCUGAACCCACGCCUGCGUGUGCUCCAUUCAUUACUUGACCUGAGAUCGGGUAGGGAUACCCGCUGAACUUAAGCAUAUCAAUAAGCGGAGGAAAAGAAACCAACAGGGAUUGCCUUAGUAACGGCGAGUGAAGCGGCAAUAGCUCAGAUUUGAAAUCUGGCACCUCUGGUGUCCGAGUUGUAAUCUGUAGAGGGGUGUUCAGGCAUGGCUCUGGCCCAAGUUCCUUGGAACAGGACGUCAUGGAGGGUGAGAAUCCCGUAAAUAGCCCUUGUCCUAUGCCUAUGUGAACCUCCUUCGACGAGUCGAGUUGUUUGGGAAUGCAGCUCUAAAUGGGUGGUAUAUUUCAUCUAAAGCUAAAUACAGGCAGGAGACCGAUAGCGCACAAGUAGAGUGAUCGAAAGAUGAAAAGAACUUUGGAAAGAGAGUUAAAUAGUACGUGAAAUUGUUGAAAGGGAAGCACUUGCGUCUAGACUUGCCUGCAGCUGAUCAACUGCCAUUUUUUGGUAGUGCACUCGGCUGUUAGCAGGCCAGCAUCAGUUAGGGCGGUGGGAAAAAGGUAUAGGCAAUGUGACUCCUGUAUGGGAGUGUUAUAGGCCUAUACGCAAUGCUACCUGCCUUGACUGAGGGUUGCGCUUCGGCGAGGAUGCUGGCUUAAUAGCCGUAAGUGACCCGUCUUGAAACACGGACCAAGGAGUCUAACAGCUGUGCGAGUGUUUGGGUGUAAAACCCUCUUGCGUAAUGAAAGUAAAUGAAGGUGGGAACCGCAAGGUGCACCAUCGACCGAUCCUGAUGUCUUCGGAUGGAUUUGAGUAGGAGCAUAGCUGUUGGGACCCGAAAGAUGGUGAACUAUGCCUGAAUAGGGUGAAGCCAGAGGAAACUCUGGUGGAGGCUCGCAGCGGUUCUGACGUGCAAAUCGAUCGUCAAAUUUGGGUAUAGGGGCGAAAGACUAAUCGAACCAUCUAGUAGCUGGUUCCGGC